AUCUGUUGAAUGCGGGCGGCACUUUGUCUGGAUGGUGGAGUUUCUACAAUGUUGAUAUGUGUUAGUGUUGAAGUUGCUGCUUUCUCUGGAUGUUGCUGCUUGCAGAGCAGAUAUCCACAGAGCUGAACUGCCGAUCGAGAAUUUGAUCAAGUGAGUCAAACACGAUGAGCUGGAUUUUCACCAAGCUGGGAUGACUCAGCAGCCUUUCAAAGUGGCGGCCAGGACCAAGACCAGAGAUCACAGAGCCAGAACUGUCAGUCAAUUGAUGUUUUCUCCAGGGCUCAUCUGUUUUAGUACUCCAAUGAAUGUUUGGGCUCUGAACCAAGAAUACAUAAUGAGUCUUGUAAUUUUAACAGCUCCAUGAAUGCAUGCAUUCCCCACCUCUGCAAACUUUGCAUUAUUCAGUUACAAAAGGUUUGAUGAUAUUCAGAUUAGUGAUUAAAAUAGCCUUUACUCUGUUAGCUAAAAAGGUUCACUGACUUAAAAAAGUGUAUAAUCAUUAUUCUAUUAGGAAUAACAUAAUAUCAUUCAAUUCAACUUCAUGUGCUUUGUACAUUAUGGUUACUUUAUUAAAUAGAUACAAUUC
This is a long non-coding RNA of Carcharodon carcharias (great white shark), 586 nucleotides long. RefSeq lists it as uncharacterized. The transcript is spliced from 2 exons. The record is from RefSeq and is a predicted model, not a curated record. Lineage: Eukaryota; Metazoa; Chordata; Chondrichthyes; Lamniformes; Lamnidae.